CCGGCGCACGGGUGCGUAACGCGUAUGCAAUCUACCUUUCACAGAGGGAUAGCCCAGAGAAAUUUGGAUUAAUACCUCAUAGUAUAUAGAAGUGGCAUCACUUUUAUAUUAAAGUCACAACGGUGAAAGAUGAGCAUGCGUCCCAUUAGCUAGUUGGUAAGGUAACGGCUUACCAAGGCAACGAUGGGUAGGGGUCCUGAGAGGGAGAUCCCCCACACUGGUACUGAGACACGGACCAGACUCCUACGGGAGGCAGCAGUGAGGAAUAUUGGUCAAUGGACGCAAGUCUGAACCAGCCAUGCCGCGUGCAGGAUGACGGUCCUAUGGAUUGUAAACUGCUUUUGU
This 345-nucleotide ribosomal RNA is filed under the name uncultured bacterium. RNAcentral's name for it is "bacterial SSU rRNA". It matches the Rfam family "Bacterial small subunit ribosomal RNA", at positions 95 to 439 of the family's 1533-position model. The record is from RNAcentral.